RNAcentral lists this transfer RNA (55 nucleotides) under Tarentola chazaliae (helmethead gecko). RNAcentral's name for it is "partial tRNA-Cys". The record is from RNAcentral. Lineage: Eukaryota; Metazoa; Chordata; Lepidosauria; Squamata; Phyllodactylidae.
CCGAAAUGCAAGUUCGGAGACGCACACAAGGCGUGUGCCGGGGCUUCUCCCGUUU